GACGAACGCUGGCGGCGUGCUUAACACAUGCAAGUCGAACGGCAAGGCUCUGCUUGCAGGGUACUCUAGCGGCGAACGGGUGCGUAACACGUGGGUGAUCUGCCCUGCACUUCGGAAUAAACCUCUGAAACCGGCUCUAGUACCGGAUAGAUGCCACUUUCAUCGGGAUGGUUGGAAAGUUUUUUCCGCUGAGGAUGAGCCCGCGGCCCUUCCGCCUGUGGGUGGGGUAAUGGCCUACCAAGGCGGCGACGGGUAGCCGGCCUGAGAGGGUGGACGGCCACAGUGCGACUGAGGUACGGCCCAGCCUCCUACGGGGGGCAGAAGUGGCGAAUAUUCCACAAUGGGCGCAAGCCUGAUGCAGCGACGCCGCGUGGGGGAUGACGGCCUUCGGGUUGUAAACUCCUUUCGCUAGGGACGAAGCUUUUUGUGACGGUCCCUAGCUAAGAAGCACCGGCUAUCUACGC
This 464-nucleotide ribosomal RNA is filed under the name uncultured bacterium. RNAcentral describes it as "partial 16S ribosomal RNA". It matches the Rfam family "Bacterial small subunit ribosomal RNA", at positions 28 to 506 of the family's 1533-position model. The record is from RNAcentral.